CGUGAAAUUGUUGAAAGGGAAGCGCUUGUGACCAGACGUGCGCCGGGGUGUUCAGCGGGCGUUCUCGCCCGUGCACUCGCCUCGGUGCAGGCCAGCGUCGGUUUGGGUGGGGGGAUAAAGGCGUCUGGAAUGUGGCUCCUCCGGGAGUGUUAUAGCCAGAUGUGCCAUGCCUCCGCCUGGACCGAGGUACGCGUUCUGCAAGGACGCUGGCGUAAUGGUCUCCAGCGACCCGUCUUGAAACACGG
Molecule: ribosomal RNA, 245 nt
Filed under: Chaetosphaeria vermicularioides
Lineage: Eukaryota; Fungi; Ascomycota; Sordariomycetes; Chaetosphaeriales; Chaetosphaeriaceae
Description: partial large subunit ribosomal RNA
Rfam family: Eukaryotic large subunit ribosomal RNA
Source: RNAcentral